UACAGGGGGGGCAAGCGUUGUUCGGAAUUACUGGGCGUAAAGGGCUCGUAGGCGGCCAACUAAGUCCGACGUGAAAUCCCAAAGCUUAACUUUGGAACUGCGUCGGAUACUGGAUGGCUUGAAUUCGGGAGAGGGAUGCAGAAUUCCAGGUGUAGCGGUGAAAUGCGUAGAUAUCUGGAGGAACACCGGUGGCGAAGGCGACAUCCUGGACCGGUAUUGACGCUGAGGCGCGAAAGCCAGGGGAGCAAACGGG
RNAcentral lists this ribosomal RNA (253 nucleotides) under uncultured bacterium. RNAcentral describes it as "partial 16S ribosomal RNA". It matches the Rfam family "Bacterial small subunit ribosomal RNA", at positions 524 to 776 of the family's 1533-position model. The record is from RNAcentral.